GAGCCAGCUCAGCCCAGCGGUUCCAUUGACCAAAGCAUUGCUAAGAUCCCCUAAUCGCUUCCAGUGGUUUGAGAGCUGCAGGCGCUGCCUGGUUUUCUU
Vault RNA from Podarcis muralis (Common wall lizard), 99 nucleotides. Its record names the gene Vault. It matches the Rfam family "Vault RNA". From Rfam's summary of the family: This family of RNAs are found as part of the enigmatic vault ribonucleoprotein complex. The record is from Ensembl. Lineage: Eukaryota; Metazoa; Chordata; Lepidosauria; Squamata; Lacertidae.